RNAcentral lists this ribosomal RNA (156 nucleotides) under uncultured bacterium. Its description in RNAcentral is "partial 16S ribosomal RNA". It matches the Rfam family "Bacterial small subunit ribosomal RNA", at positions 197 to 354 of the family's 1533-position model. The record is from RNAcentral.
CGAACGAAGGGCAAUCCGCUGAAAGAUGGGCUCGCGUCCGAUUAGAUAGUUGGCGGGGUAACGGCCCACCAAGUCGACGAUCGGUAGCCGGACUGAGAGGUUGAACGGCCACAUUGGGGACUGAGACACGGCCCAGACUCCUACGGAAGGCAGCAG